This 633-nucleotide long non-coding RNA is filed under the name Haliotis rubra (blacklip abalone). Its description in RNAcentral is "uncharacterized LOC124289015, transcript variant X1". Lineage: Eukaryota; Metazoa; Mollusca; Gastropoda; Lepetellida; Haliotidae. The record is from RNAcentral.
UGUCGAACUUCUAUCCCAACAAUUUCCCUAAGGAGACCUGAUGAGCCACACCUUGUCAUCUUGACAUCACCUCCUGCAUAGUGACCUGAUUACCACACUGGUGACACACAGUGACCUGAUUACCACACUGGUGACACACAGGUUAGGUACACAGUGACCUGAUUACCACACUGGUGAUACACAGUGACCUGAUUACCACACUGGUGACACACAGGUUAGGUACACAGUGACCUGAUUACCACACUGGUGACACACAGGUUAGGUACACAGUGACCUGAUUACCACACUGGUGACACACAGGUUAGGUACACAGUGACCUGAUUACCACACUGGUGACACACAGUGACCUGAUUACCACACUGGUGACACACAGGUUAGGUACACAGUGACCUGAUUACCACACUGGUGACACACAGGUUAGGUACACAGUGACCUGAUUACCACACUGGUGACACACAGUGACCUGAUUACCACACUGGUGACACACAGGUUAGGAUACACAGUGACCUGAUAACCACACUGGUGACACACAGGUUAGGUACACAGUGACCUGAUUACCACACUGGUGACACACAGGUUAGGUACACAGUGACCUGAUUACCACACUGGUGACACACAGUGACCUGAUUACCA